AGUUGUCAACACAAUGCAGUCAGAUCCACUAGGCAUUAACGGGAUUCCCAGCAUGUGUUAUUGAACUGAGUCCCUGUUCUUCAUCCUUUGCGCUUCAGGGACAGCAUCAUUCCCAUCUCUGCUGCCACCUUCUUCUUCAUCAUCAUCCUUUUCUUCUUCUCUGCUUUUGUCCCGACUCCCUCCUCCUCUCUGUUUCAAACACUUCUCCUCUCAUUAUCUCGUCGUGUUUCCAGCAGCGCUCUCCGUUCCGCCUCCCCGUCCUCCUUAUUGUCGGUGCGGGACGGGGUGCGGGGAGCAGAUACGGCGUACGUGGGAAGCACAUCUGGGUUACUCAUGUGCGGCAGCGAUAGAGGCGCGUUCAUGGUGGUGCGUGGGAGCCGGUGUGUGCGCGCGCGCUCGCAUGUGUGUAUGCGUGCGUGCGGGGGUGUGCUUAUGUAGAGCAGUGAUAUGGGGCGGCAACAGUCGGUCGAGCUUCAGCUGAGCCUCCGUUCCUACAUUGUCUUAAAGCGGCUUUACAGGCAAUCCGUCUGUUUUCCUUUUCUCCGUCUCUCCUCUGCUCUGAUCAUUCUUGCCCUCCGCGUUGGUUUCUUUCAGCAGCUCAUUGUUGCAUGACCGCUUCUCGCCUCCGCGGCCCUCAAAGAGCGAGGAGGAUCCAACAUCCCGAGGAGGCGAAGACGAUUCGACAGAUUCUUAGGAGAAUAUGCCAGUCUGGCCCAAUUUAGUGGCUCAUAUUCAUAUUCUCGCUCUCUCUAUUUUUUCUCUUUCUGUGUCUGUGUGCGUGUGUUUGUCAGAAUAGUUCAGGUAAUCCUUGUUAUCCAGUUUAAGACAUUUACAAGGAAAUAUGUUAGUGGAAACAACGCCAAACUACUUUUUUCUCGUUAUGUCAAGUCAGAAAUAUGCAGAAAGAUUUGGGACUAAACUGAUUUGUAGGUUGGCAUAUCAAUCAAUCAAUCAAUCUGUUGGGAUCUGGGGAAGGCUGGUUGUUUUUUCCUGUUUUCUCCACUAGAGGGCAUCCUGGGGCUUUCCUGGAGGGUGUGACCUUCGGCUCCUUACCUGUGCACCUGGCGGCAGGUAUUUCAGGGGGGAGCAGCCAACACUCCAGUGCCAGAGUGUUAGCCAAUAAUGGUUAUACCUCCGUGAAGCCUUGGGCUACCUGAACUGCCAGGAUUAUUGGCAACCUGAUCUGAACCUUUGAGACCCCGUGGAUAUUUCCCAUUGGCAGCCCGAGUUUCCAGAACCUCUUUGUUGUAACAAACCUCCAUCAAGCCUCCUGGUCGGCAGCUCCCCCCAGGAUCCAGGAAGACCUGGCUAAUUCAUUCUCCUGUCCGCCUUCCAACGUAACCUCCGCUCUCUCUUCACCUCCAGCCCCAGAUCCACAGUAACCUUCUCCCCCAGUCCAAUUCACCCACCUGCAAAGAUCCAGCACUCCAGUGACGAGUUCCUGUCCCAGACCCCUGUACAUUCUAUUGCACUUUGUAUUCAAAUAAAUCACUUUAACUUUUACUUGUCUUCAGAGUUGUGUUCUGCGUUAUGUGGGUUAACAGAAUUAAACCCAUCAUG
Long non-coding RNA from Poecilia latipinna (sailfin molly), 1560 nucleotides. RefSeq lists it as uncharacterized. The record is from RefSeq and is a predicted model, not a curated record. Lineage: Eukaryota; Metazoa; Chordata; Actinopteri; Cyprinodontiformes; Poeciliidae. The transcript has 3 exons.